Molecule: long non-coding RNA, 10549 nt
Filed under: Gossypium barbadense (sea-island cotton)
Lineage: Eukaryota; Viridiplantae; Streptophyta; Magnoliopsida; Malvales; Malvaceae
Description: long non-coding RNA (GBAR_LNC015915)
Source: RNAcentral
AGGCUCUACUUUUGAGGGGAAAAAAACAAAUGAAGCUUACUUUUUUAUUUUUUUAUUUUUAAAACAUUGAACACCCCUUUUUGAAAACUAAAAAAAAAAAUUUACCUAUCAUCUCUCUUAUUUUCCUUAAAGAAAAACAGAGAGAAAGCUCUCAAAUUUUCUCUUAGGCCUGUGCCAUCCUCAUCGGAGAUCCGGCUAGCCGAGGUCGUGAGUUCGUCGGUAAGUCCCCUCUCUCCCUCUCUUGUUUUUUAAAAAAAAUCGUUUAAAAAAAUUUGAAAAGGAAACAGAACAAACGAAAUCCAAAUCAAGAGAAAAUUCGAAAAGAAAAAAAAAUGAAAAAUCACCUUUCAAAACUUAGUUCCAAUUCUUGAUUUACUCUUGAACUUUGUAUUAUCUCCGAAAAAAUAUAUAUAUCCCCCAAAAUACAAUCGAUUCCUCUCUAAAAAUCCUCCCUAAAAUACAAUCCCUUCUCCCAUCGAAAUAUCAAAAAAUCCCCCUCCUAUUACAUUCAGAUCUGGCAUUUAUAGCCAUUUCAAUACAAUAUUUUAAAUUUCUUGCCAUUGCUUCCUGCCGUCUGCCUCUGUCUUAGUGUUUGCUUUCUUUUCGUCUUAUUCUGCAGGUGACGGAAAUCAACAAGUGGGCGCACAUGGAGAGUUGGUGGGAGUGUCAGACGCGUGGGGCGUGGUGGCCAAGGCUGAGGGGCAUGGUGGCCGACAUGGUGGCAUGGAGAGCUGGGGUUUGCUGCUGAAAUUUUGCUGAAAAAUGUUUUAGAUUUUGGGCCUUUUGGGCUUUAGGGUUUUGAUUUGUUUGGGUUUAAAUUUUGGGUCAGAUUUUGGGUUUGUAAAUGGGCUGUUACUUUUGGGUUUAUUAUUUGAGUUAUUUUGUUGGUAUGGGCCCAGGCAAAAUGGGCUCGUACAGCUGCCCCUCUUUGCUUGUUGUCGUGUAACGAGAACAGAGCAAAGACUAAGAAGGUCAAUUUUGCCCGGUCUCACCGAGUCUUGAUUUUAUGGUGCUUAUCUUCUUCAAGUAACCUCAUUUCAGUCCACUGCGUCUUCUUGCUUUGAUCCACUUCACGGCAACUUCAGAUACGCCUUGUAGCUUCAAUCUACUUUGUUACGACUCCAUGGGGAUGAGAUUUGUGUUUUUAGUCUGCUCCACUACUGCUUAGGGAGAUAAGACUGGAUGUGAUCUACUCCGCUACUGCUUAGGGGAAUAAGAUCUGUAAUCUUCACUCUAUUCCACUGUUGAAUGCAGGGAGAUAGAGUUAUCGGCUUCAAUGUACUCCACUGUAGUCAGGGAGGUAAAAUCUGCCAUCUUCGAUCUGCUUCGCUGCCAAAUACAGGAAGGCAAGAUCUGCAAUCUUCAAUCUACUUCCUACCAAUAUAGGAAGACAGGACCUGCUAUCUUCGAUCUACUUCAUGCCAAUACAUGAAGACAAGAUUUACUUUCUUCGAUCCACUCCCUACCAAUAUAGGGAGACAGGACCUGUUAUCUUCGAUCUACUUCACGCCAAUACAUGAAGACAAGAUCUGCAUCUUGGAUCCACUUCCUAUCAAUAUAGGAAGAUAGGACCUGCUAUCUUCGAUCUACUUCACGCCAAUACAUGAAGACAAGAUCUGCUUUCUUCGAUCUACUUCGCCACCAAUAUGGGAAGACAAGAUCUGCAUCUUCGAUCCACUUCCUACCAAUAUAGAAAGAUAGGAUCUGCUAUCCUCGAUCUACUUCAUGCCAAUACAUGAAGACAAGAUCUGCUUUCUGCGAUCUACUUCGCCACCAAUAUGGGAAGACAAGACCUGUUUUCUUCGAUCUACUUCGCCACCAAUAUGGGAAGACAAGAUCUGCAUCUUCGAUCUACUUCGCCCAAUAUGGGAAGACAAGAUCUGCAUCUUCGAUCCACUUCCUACCAAUAUAGGAAGAUAGGAUCUGCUACCUUCGAUCUACUUCACGCCAAUACAUGAAGACAAGAUCUGCUUUCUGCGAUCUACUUCGCCACCAAUAUGGGAAGACAAGAUCUGUAUCUUCGAUCCACUUCCUACCAAUAUAGGAAGAUAGGAUCUGCUACCUUCGAUCUACUUCAUGCCAAUACAUGAAGACAAGAUCUGCUUUCUGCGAUCUACUUCGCCACCAAUAUGGGAAGACAAGAUCUGCAUCUUCGAUCCACUUCCUACCAAUAUAGGAAGAUAGGAUCUACUACCUUCGAUCUACUUCACGCCAAUACAUGAAGACAAGAUCUGCUUUCUGCGAUCUACUUCGCCACCAAUAUGGGAAGACAAGAUCUGCAUCUUUGAUCCACUUCCUACCAAUAUAGGAAGAUAGGACCUAUUUACGCCUAGUGUUUAGGAUGACAUGAUCAGAAUGAAUCAAAUGCUCCUAACUAGAUGUGUAUGUAUUAUAUUUGUAGAAUGUCAUGAGAAUGAUCCAUUUUUAAUGCUUAGGUUGUCAUUCCUCAUUGUUCAUCAAGGUUCUAUCACUGAUGCCUUCUUGUUCAGCCAGUACCUUUGACAGAAAAUCUAAAGAAAUAGAUGCUAUUUAGACUAUCAUUUCUCAAAUGUUUCCAACCCUUAGGUUUGGUUAGUUCUAAACAAUAGUCCUGUUUCAGGUCCUCGUAUUAUUUAGAAACUUUCAGAGUAAUAUGCAGAACUCCUUCUGCAUGUGUAUUGUCAGUCCAUUAAUCGUUAUUCCAAUGAAAAAUACUUGAAAAAGAUUAUCAAAAUGGACAAAAUAAAAUUUUGCUGAGAGCAAAGCUCGAAAUGAAUAAAUCAAUCAAGAUAGCAAAUUUUGCUGAGAUAUAAUGAAAAAGAUUAUCACAAUGAAUAAGAUGGAACUUUAUUGAGAGCAGAGCUCUAAAUGAACAGAUAGUAAAUUUUGCUAAGAUGUAAAUAAGAUAAAAACAGGUGCCCCAGAUAUCGCAGCGUGAGCUUCUCCGCACAAACUCUGUGUUUAGAAGUCCUAAAAGACUUUGUUGAUGCCCCAAGAUGUAGUAUCUCUCCUUCUUGUUAAUUCGAAGAAGACAAAACUACUCUAUGCCUCAUCUUUGAUCGAAAAUUUGAAUUGCCCAUUCCUGGGUUUUCAAUUCAAAAACCCCUUUGGUCUCAAGGUGCCCUUUGCGGGUUUUCGCCUUGGCCUCUCCCUUUUUUUUUUUAGGCAAAGUACCUCUUCACUGAAUCUGAAUUCACAGGAUUGGGCAAGCUUUUGCCAUCCAUCCCAGUUAAAAUUAAUGCCCCUCCUGAAAAGGCCUUUUUUACUACAUAAGGUCCCUCCCAGUUUGGCAUCCACUUUCCUCUGAAGUCCUUUUGUAUGGGAAGGAUCUUCUUCAGUACCAAGUCCCCUUCACGGAAGUUUUUAGGACGAACUUUCUUAUUGUAAGCUCGCAUCAUUCGUUUCUGGUACAUUUGACCAUGACGGAUAGCUCUUAACCUCCUUUCUUCAAUCAAGUUCAGCUGAUCAUAUCGGGAUUGGACCCAUUCUGCUUCGUCUAACUUUAAUUCUGAAAAAACUCGGAGAGAGGGAAUUUCAACCUCAAUUGGUAGCACUGCCUCCAUUCCAUAAACCAAAGAGAAUGGUGUUGCCCCGGUAGAAGUCCUGACGGACGUUCGAUAAGCAUAGAGGGCGAAUGGUAACUUCUCGUGCCAAUCUCUAUAGGUCUCAGUCAUUUUCCCCACAAUCUUUUUGAUAUUUUUAUUGGCUGCCUCCACCGCACCAUUCAUCUUCGGACGAUAUGGCGAUGAGUUGUGGUGCUUGAUCUUGAAUUGACUACAAACCUCUGCUAUCGUGCUAUUAUUCAAAUUUAAUGCGUUGUCAGAUAUAAUCCUUUCAGGCAUUCCAUACCGACAUAUGAUUUUCUUCUUUAAAAACUUACUGACAGCUGUCUUUGUGACGUUGGCGUAAGAAGUAGCCUCUACCCACUUAGUAAAGUAGUCAAUCACUACAAAAAUGAAACGAUGUCCGUUUGAAGCCUUUGGCGAUAUCGGCCCAAUGACGUCCAUGGCCCACAUGGAGAAAGGCCAUGGGGAAGUCAUGACGUGAAGAGGUGAUGGAGGCACAUGAAUUUUGUCUCCAUAAAUCUGGCAUUUAUGGCACUUCUUAGCAUAUUUGAUGCAGUCUCCUUCCAUGGUAGACCAAUAAUAUCCAAAUCUCAUGAUCUGUCUGGCCAUUGUGAAACCGUUAGCGUGUGUUCCACAAAUACCAUCAUGGACUUCUUCCAAGAUCUGCUUGGCCUCCACAGCGUCCACACAUCUUAACAGCACCUGAUCUUUUCCUCUUUUGUACAGGAUCUCUCCAUCUAAGACGUAAUCACUGGCCAGCCUCCUCAACAUUCUCUUGUCAUUCUCAGUUGUUUGGUUUGGGUAUUCACGAUUUUUCACGUAUCGCAAUAUAUCCUGAUACCAGGGGUUGUCGUCCUUUUCUUCUUCUUCGUCAAUGUUACAACAGUGGGCUGGAGCCUCAUAAAUGCUCAUUUGGAUAGGCUUCACAUCCUCUGGUCUAUUUACUUUGAUCAUGGAAGCCAAUGUAGCUAAAGCGUCGGCCAUCUGAUUCUCGUCUCGUGGGAGAUAACAAAAAGUGAUGUCGUCAAACUCCUCAAUCAAUUCUAGGACUAUCCUUCGGUAACUAAUCAACUUAGGGUCUCUUGUUUCCCAUUCGCCUUUGAGCUGAUAAAUUACCAAUGCUGAAUCCCCAUAUACCUCAAGUACCUUAAUUUUGCAUUCCAUAGCCGCGCGGAUUCCCAUGAUACAUGCUUCAUAUUCCGCCAUGUUAUUUGUGCAAUCAAAAUCUAGUUUACUGGUGAAAGGAUAAUGAUCACAGUUUGGAGAUACCAAGACUGCCCCAAUCCCGUUGCCCAUGGCAUUUGAGGCUCCGUCAAAAUUUAAUUUCCAAGUAUUGCCUUCUUGUGUGCUUGCUUCAGUAGUUGCCAUAUACAUCAGAUCCUCAUUUGGGAAAUCAAAGUUCAAAGGCUCAUAAUCGUCCAGGGCUCUACUUGCUAGAAAAUCUGCUAUCGCGCUCCCUUUUACAGCCUUUUGAUUCACAUAGGUUAUGUCAAAUUCAGAUAGUAGAAUUUGUCAUCGGGUCAUCCUUCCGUUUAGAGCAGUUGACUCCAUCAUGUAUUUCAGAGGGUCUAACUUUGAGAUUAACCAAGUCGUAUGGUACAACAUGUAUUGUCUCAAUCUCCGAGUAGUCUAAACUAAUGCGCAACAUAAUUUUUCAAUUGGCGAAUAUCUCGUUUCGCAUUCAGUGAACUUCUUACUGAGAUAAUAGAUCGCUCUUUCUUUUCGUCCUGACUCAUCAUGUUGGCCGAGCACGCCCCCCAUGGAAUUCUCAAAUACUGCCAAGUAUAGUAUCAGUGGCUUGUCAGGGCAAGGUGGCAUCAGUACUGGGGUGUUGGACAAGUAAUGUUUAACUCUUUCGAAAGUUUUCUGGCACUCCUUAUCCCAUACACCUGGAUUGUGUUUCUUAAGAAGACGGAAUAUGGGGUCACAUUUCUUAGUUAAUUGUGAAAUGAAUCGAGCGAUGUAAUUUAGUCUUCCUAGGAAACCCCGAACUUCUUUUUGAGUACUUGGCGGAGGUAAUUCUUGUAUGGCCUUAACUUUUUUUGGGUCAAUUUCAAUUCCCUUUUCGCUGACUAAGAAUCCUAGCAAUUUUCCUGAUCUAGCCCCGAAAGUACACUUGGCUGGGUUAAGUUUUAGCUGGAACUUCCUUAACCUUAGAAACAGUUUUCUCAGAACUUGCACGUGUUCCCCUUCUGUUCUGGAUUUUGCGAUCAUGUCAUCAACAUAAACUUCUAUCUCUUUAUGCAUCAUAUCAUGGAAUAAUGCUAACAUGGCUCUCUGAUACGUCGCUCCCGCAUUUUUCAAUCCAAAAGGCAUCACUUUAUAACAAAACGUCCCCCACAUCGUUAUGAAUGUGGUCUUCUCCCUGUCUUCAGAAAGCAUCUUAAUUUGGUUGUACCCAGAGAAACCAUCUAUGAAAGAGAACAGUGAGUAUCCGGCCGUGUUGUCUACCAAGGUAUCGAUAUGAGGCAGUGGGAAAUUAUCUUUUAGGCUGGCUUUGUUCAAGUCUCUGUAGUCCACACACAUUCGCACCUUCCCAUCUUUCUUAGGAACAGGGACUAUAUUGGCUACCCAUUUAGAGUACUUGACCACCUGUAAGAAACCAGCAUCAAAUUGCCUCUUAACUUCUUCCUUUAUUUUUAGCAAGACAUCAGGCCUCAUCCUUCGGAGCUUUUGUUGGGCUGGUUUGCAUUCUUCCUUUAUAGGCAAUCGGUGUACCACGAUAUCAGUACUUAACCCUGGCAUAUCUUGGUAGGACCACGCGAAGAUAUCUUUAAACUCUUGGAGCAACUCAACAAGGUCUUGCCUUGUUUCCUUGGCAAUGCAAGCGCCAAUUUUUACCUCUCUGCCCUCUUCUAAGAUUACAACUUCUACUGAUUCCUUAUAGGGUAGAAUUUGUUUUCCUUCUUCUUCCAUCAUUCUUAACAAAUCCAGAGAUAAAACGCUGUCUUUGUCACCUUCAAAAUCUUGAGGAUCGUCUAUACUCAUGUCUUGUUCAAAUAGAGACUCUGAAUUAGUAACAGCGUCGCUCAUCUCGUUGAUAUCUGAAGACCUGUUAUUGGAACAAAUGGAGGCCCAAAUAAAAGAAUCUAAGAAUACUUAUAUGCAUAGUAUGAUUAUAAAGGGAAUGAAAAGAAUGAAAGAAUAUUUGCUCAAGAUGAAACUGAAUGAUAAGUUUUCACUGAAAUUAGAUUUUGGACAUGUGCCUUUUACAAAAGAUUCUUAUCACCCCUGGUUCAGGGCAACAAGUGUUAUGAAUAUUACUCUGAAUUAGUUCUAAAUGUUACAGGGAUCUCUUCUGCAGUCCAGUUGUUUAGAACGCCUCUAGGGAUGUAGAAACAAGUCCCUGAUAGGUUUUUUAGUUCUUUCUUCAAAGGCACAAACAUCUUUACUUUCCAAUCCAUCGAUAUAUUCAAAGAAUUCUAAUUCUUUUUCAUCUAUCUGGCUCUGUACUAAAGUUCUGAACUCAAUACACUUUUGGAUUUUAGGAAAUUUAUUGUAUGCAAUGAAAUGUAAUGUUAAUGAAUAAAAAGAUGCUUGCAAUGAAAUAUAAUGCAGAUACAUGAAUGCAAAAAGAGAUGUUGAUUCUUGAUUCAAUUCUAUUAGAACAACUUUACUAGAAAACAAAUCUCUUUACAUAAAGCGGAUACAUAUACGGCUUUGCCCUCAUAUGCGGAGACAUUCGAUCAUUUUCUUCGUUCGAGCGUUAAGAUAAGUCUCACGAACUCUUCAAAAGGGACGUAUCUUAUAUCUCCUUUUUACUCAAUCCGGGUCGUGACUCGUUGCUCACUAAAACUCAUGGUGCUCGUUGGCUUCUCUUUUAAAAAAGUUCAGCGGCUCUCGAAUAAUCCUUGUCACAUUAAAUUCUCGGGCCACGGAGCAAUGGUUGUGUGGUCCUCCAUUAAACUAUCAUCCUUCAUACGGCUUUGCCCUCAUAUGCGGAGACAUUCGAUCAUUUUCUUCAUUCGAACGUUAAGAUAAGUCUCACGAACUCUUCAAAAGGGACGUAUCUUAUAUCUCCUUUUUACUCAAUCCGGGCCGUGACUCGUUGCUCACUAAACCUCAUGGUGCUCGUUGGCUUCUCUUUUAAGAAAGUUCAGCGGCUCUCAAAUAAUCCUUGUCACAUUAAAUUCUCGGGCCACGGAGCAAUGGUUGUGUGGUCCUCCAUUAAACUAUCAUCCUUCUCUUAUCACGUUUUCUUGGACCAUAUUCGAACAACCGUAUUAUUAUCCACUUUAUCAAGAAACCCAUUUCCUUAUGACAAGCUCUCUAUUUAACAACUGAACGUGAAUCAACACCUCCUUUUAUGCAAUGCAAUCAUAACAAAAAGAAAACAGGUUAGUACAAAGCAAAAGCAAGCAAGAAUAAAUAGAACACCUAUUUGGGUGAAUACUAGGGGUUCGAAGUGGUUCUACCUAGGGUGGGCUCCUAAGGUUCACUACAUGAGGUUUGGUUCUAAAGUAAGGGUACCCGAACCAGCAGAUUCCUCGAUCCUCACCCAUUAUAGGCUCAUGCGGACCGAGUUCGGUUCAGGGGGAUACAUUUCCCUAUGGCCAUGCGGAGAUGAAAAUCUCACGAAGACAUAGGUACGGAUGUAUCCCGGAAGCGAUUCACUAUCCCAUGCGGAGGUGAAAACCUCACGAAGGCGUAGUUUCUCACUCCCACUUAAAAGGGUAUGACCAGCGAUCAUGCAAUGCAAUGUGCAGAGGUAUAAAAUAAAAUACAGAACACGAUAAAAAAAAUAUAACUCAAAACAAAAGAGAUGCAAUGAAAGGAUCGUAAAUUUAAAUCGAAUUUUCCACUUUCAACAAAAAGACAAGAAAUAAUCAACACGUAGCUUGACUCUCUUAUUUUCCCCAGUGGAGUCACCAAGCUGUUGGCACCAUUUUUUGGAUAAAACGGGGUCGACUUGGAUUUUGAAAAAGAAUAAAAACGGGAGUCGCCACCAAUCUUUUUUUGAUGAGGUGUGAUCGGGUCACCUCAAAAAGUGGUUGUUUUUAAUAAAUGAUUUAAUUUUAUUAAAACAACGAUUUUGGUCUACGAAAUUCAGAAAAAUGAGUUCGGGAGUCGGUUACGCACGAGGAAGGAUUAGCACCCUCGAUACGCCCAAAAUUGGUACCUAGUUGAUUAAUUAGUGUCUUAGUGUCGGAAAUUGAAAAUUUGAAGAGUUUUUUUUUAAUACGAUCCUUAAAAGAAACUCUGAUAACGUGAAUUGAAAGGUAAGAUUCUCUUGUUCCGAAGGAAUAUCACAUCCAGCACGUUAGGACACGAUACUCUAAACCAUCGAAACCAAUAUCACCUUAUAGUUUAAUGAAACCAUACUUUGAAGCUUUAAGAGAAUAUUUGGCUAUUUAGUCGAACGAGAAAUCGAAACCCAGCACGUUAGGGCACGUUUUCUCGAUUUUCCAAAUGCGAAAUAUUGCCUUAUUUAGAAAAAUACAAGUGAAAUUCCGGAGAGAUAUUCGAUUAUCUUGGACAAACGGGAGAUUGCAGCCCAGCACGAUAGGGCACUAUUCCCCGAACUGCCAAACAUCGAACACUUCUUUCGUUUUAAAAGGUUUUUAGAAAACGUGAAUGAAAUUUCGAAGGAAUCUUCGAUUGUUUAGAACAAAUGAAAAAACGCAACCCAACACGAUAGGGCACGAUCCUCAAAUCGCCAAACAUCGAACAUCCUUUGUAUUGAAAGGUUUUUAAUAAACAUGAGUGAAAACCUAAAGGAAUAUUCGAUUAUUUUGAGCAAACGAGAAAUUGCAACCCAACAUGUUAGGGCACUAUUCCGCGAAUUGCCAAAUAUCGAGUCUCGUCUUCAUGAUAAAUAAAAUAUAAUAAGUAUAAUAAACUAUAUUUAAAAUUAUUAUAAAAUAUGUAUAUAAAAAGAAAUAGUACAGAAAAAAAUGAUUAUUAGUAAAACAAAAAUAAGAUAACAAGUAAUGUGAUACAUAUAAUGACAAUUUGUACAUAAAAUAAUUAGUUUUAUUUUAUACAUAUAUAUAUAUGAAGCAUAUAACAAAUAAAUAAAUAAAUAAUAUAGUAAUGUGAAACUUAACUCCAAUUGAUUAAAUUAGAUGAAAAGAAAUAAGAAAUAAUGAAAAUGAUAUAAUAAGUAUAAUAAAUAAUAGUGUAAAAAAAAUAGUAUAAUAAAUAAUAGGAAAAUAAUUUUAAAAAUGAUAUAAAAAAUAGUAAUAAUAGAUUAAUAAUAAUACCAAAAAAAAAUUUGUGAUAGAAGUGUCUAAAAUAAACAAAAUAGGGCUUAAUUGAAUUAAAAAAUGAAAUUCUGGAGUGAAAACAGAACAAAAGGAUACAAGGGGACCAAAAUGCACACGUGGGUAAGGAGGGAGGGGUCUGGGCGUAAAUUUCCGGGGUAAUUUGAAAGCAUUUAAAGAAAACAAAAAAAGACUUGAUUGAACGUAGGCACCCAGGACAGGGACUAAUCGCGAAAAUUUCCCAUUUAAAAGAAAUGUGCACAUUUCCAUCCCUUGAAUGCACGGUCAGGUUUUUCCCUUCCCUAGGCUCUACUUUUGAGGGGGAAAAAAACAAAUGAAGCUUACUUUUUUAUUUUUUUAUUUUUAAAACAUUGAACUCCCCUUUUUGAAAACUAAAAAAAAAAUUUACCCAUCAUCUUUCUUAUUUUCCUUAAAGAAAAACUGAGAGAAAGCUCUCAAAUUUUCUCUUAGGCCUGUGCCACCCUCAUCGGAGAUCCGGCUAGCCGAGGUCGUGAGUUCGUCGGUAAGUCCCCUCUCUCCCUCUAUUGUUUUUUAAAAAAAACCGUUUAAAAAAUUUGAAAAGGAAACAGAACAAACGAAAUCCAAAUCAAGAGAAAAUUCGAAAAGAAAAAAAAAUGAAAAAUCACCUUUCAAAACUUAGUUCCGAUUCUUGAUUUACUCUUGAACUUUGUAUUAUCUCCGAAAAAAUAUAUAUAUCCCCCAAAAUACAAUCUAUUCCUCUCUAAAAAUCCUCCCUAAAAUACAAUCCCUUCUCCCAUCGAAAUAUCAAAAAAUUCCCCC